GCAGAGAACCUCCCUCGUACCUUUCGCAUCAUGAUUCAGCCAGUAAAACACAUGCAAAGAGCCCUCUAGUUUGUGACCCCGAAACCCGACGAGCUACUCCGGGACAGCCUAUUAGAGCCAACCCAUCUCUGUGGCAAAAGAGUGGGAAGAUCCCCGAGUAGAAGCAAAAAACCUACCGAGCCGGGUUAUAGCUGGUUGCCCAAUAAAUGAAUAAAAGUUCAGCUCCGCCAGGCCCAACUCACAACGGUUUAACCACAAAAGACAAAGUGCCAUUAAGCGGAAGUUAGUCAGAGGAGGUACAGCUCCUCCGACAAAGGACACAACCUUAACAGAAGAUUAAGGAAUAUAAUUAAACAAGGCCACAGGUCUCAGUGGGCCUGAAAGCAGCCACCCGACCAGAAAGCGUUAAAGCUCAGACCAUACUACGCCUAUUAUCAGAUUAGACACUCCAAAAUCCCUUUAACUACUGGGCCCUUCCAUGCACCCAUAGAAGAGAUUAUGCUGAAACGAGUAACAAGAAGAUUGAACUUCUCCCCGCACAAGUGUAAGUCGAACCGGACACACCACCGACAAUUAACGAACCCAAGAACAGAGGGCCAUACACCACUACCAACUCAGGUCAAGAAAACCACGUUCUCUUAAAUCGUUAUUCCCACACAGGAGUGCUAAAGAAAGGAAAGACUAAAAGAAAGAAAAGGAACUCGGCAAACCGAAACCCCGCCUGUUUACCAAAAACAUCGCCUCUUGCUCCCCCAGUAUAAGAGG
RNAcentral lists this ribosomal RNA (765 nucleotides) under Thryssa malabarica (Malabar thryssa). RNAcentral's name for it is "partial 16S ribosomal RNA". The stretch from base 1 to 506 matches the Rfam family "Bacterial large subunit ribosomal RNA", at positions 585 to 1301 of the family's 2925-position model. Lineage: Eukaryota; Metazoa; Chordata; Actinopteri; Clupeiformes; Engraulidae. The record is from RNAcentral.